Molecule: ribosomal RNA, 256 nt
Filed under: uncultured bacterium
Lineage: Bacteria
Description: partial 16S ribosomal RNA
Rfam family: Bacterial small subunit ribosomal RNA
Source: RNAcentral
UAAUACGGAGGAUGCGAGCGUUAUCCGGAUUUAUUGGGUUUAAAGGGUGCGUAGGUUGUUGUUUAAGUCAGCGGUGAAAUUUUGCAGCUUAACUGUAAACUUGCCGUUGAAACUGGAUAACUUGAGUGUAUUUGAAGUAGGCGGAAUGCGUGGUGUAGCGGUGAAAUGCAUAGAUAUCACGCAGAACUCCGAUUGCGAAGGCAGCUUACUAAACUAUAACUGACACUGAAGCACGAAAGCGUGGGUAUCAAACAGG